UUCGUCUUGCCUUACGUGGCCUCGAAUCACGGGCAGAAAAGGUUCUGUAGUCCCUUGGACCUGGCGUACCUAGAACGGGCCAUAUUCACGAGGGAUCAACCAACUUUCGGUUUGAAAGGUCAGAAUUCGAGCGUCGGACAGUACGAGCGAUUGAGCUCCAGGACCUAAAAAUGUUUCUUGGGUCGUGGGAAAGAGAAUGUAACGGGCUGCCUCCGUGACGAUGCGUUUGACUAGCUGAAAAAAACUGGGGGCAGAUUGGUAAACAUGGGUAGCUGUGCGAAAAUCGACUGAUCUCUCCGCCCAUCUUGCCUUCUAUAUAUAUAACGAGACAAGGUCGUGAGAGCUCAUCAAUUUGUGUUGCUCCUAGGGGAGAGAGAGAGAGGGAAAGAGAGAGAGAGAGGGGUUGAAGUGAAGAUUAUGGGAGUCCUCCUAGUAAUGUUUCUUGCUCAAAUGAGUAUUCCAACCGCAGUUAGCUCCAAGAACUGGGACAGAACAGUUUGGUCGUGGUUGCUUUAGCAACUGAAACCUUCUGCUCUCUCUGAUGCUGCUGUCCUGAGAUGCUCAUUUGAGCAAGCAAUGUUAUAGGUGGAGGUUCUUUUGUUCGGACUCGCCAUCGUCCAGUGUGCUCUAUCCUUAUAAAUCUCGCUCUCUCGGAUUCAACGAUGUCAAUCAGCACGCUCCGUUGCACACUUGUCUGCCGUCCUGAUAAGUCCUAUUCCUCCCCCUUAUAAUAGCAUGUAUACACAAAAAUUAUUUGAAGUUCGCAUGAGAUCCCAGUCGAACAUAAGCACAACCACUCGGUAUUUUUCUUCUUCCAUGUAUGCCAACUGUUGACAUUGUUCGUGAUUUUACGGAGUAUGUUUACUCACUCAAGCUCUAAAACGAAGCUAGCAAUUUGGCUACAUCAUGAAUCUGGGGAUUUGAAGUUUCCUUCUUUUCCUCCUGAACCUCAGGAGAUUUGACUGAAAGGCUGUUCUUGCUCUUAAUGGGACGUGAAGUUAUAGGAGGAGACACCCAUUUCUAGAUUUCAUGUCUCUAAAAGUCGAUUUAUUGAACAUAAAAUCCCGAGCAGUGUUUUAUAUAUUGGAGCUAAAUCAUGCGUGGACUUUUUGCACUCACGCCGGUGUGUUUAUAUUCGGUAGCAUCAGUGCAGUUGAUGAUUUGUGAAUCUUGAGCUCAUGUCCGAAUAAAGGCACGUGAAUGGCUUCGGUUCUCUGAAUCAGAUUGCGUUAUUUCUGCCGCAUGUUCCUUUUAGCAAGGAUUGAAUCAAACUAUGGCUUCUCUGCAUACUUUUUCAACCAACGGCCUAGCUUGCUUUUUAAACUGGACUCGUCCCGAGGACGAAUGCAACCCGAGAUCAGCAUGUCGUCGCUCCUUGAUUUUGAACUGCAUUCUGUGUCAUCAUCUCUUUUGAUAGAUUGAUGUCGACUGAAUCAGGAGUGAGAAAAUAUCUGCACCUUCACCAUCCAAUUAUCCACUAAACGAUUAGUACCAUUGAAGAUUAUGGAUCUUUAUUAUGGUUUUCUUUUCUCUUUUUCCUUGAUCAAAGUGCAAAAUAGGCGAGUCUAGACAAGCAAUUCCUUUCUUGAGCAUGAUUGCUUAGGCCGGUUGUAUACAAUUGAGUAUUUUCUUGAUUAGAAAUAGAUUUGAGCUAGCUUUUCGAUUAGAGCCUCCUGUAUUAUCUUGGCUCGCCCACGUCCAUUCCUCAAAAGAAACUACAUUCCUUAAUAAAAUCACAUUAACCUUAA
Molecule: long non-coding RNA, 1748 nt
Organism: Eucalyptus grandis
Lineage: Eukaryota; Viridiplantae; Streptophyta; Magnoliopsida; Myrtales; Myrtaceae
Exons: 2
Source: RefSeq, a predicted model, not a curated record